Kogia breviceps (pygmy sperm whale) is the source of this 231-nucleotide non-coding RNA. Lineage: Eukaryota; Metazoa; Chordata; Mammalia; Artiodactyla; Physeteridae. The record is from RefSeq and is a predicted model, not a curated record.
GGCUCGGGGCCGCCGCCGGCGCGCCCGGAGCGGCGCGGGGCGCACCCCGCGAGGAGCGCCGGAUCCCGGGGCGGGAGGCACGCAGGAAUUUUUCAAAUAGAAACUAAUUGCAGAGUUUCCGGUUCACCAGGCAUUCAUAGGAAUGAAGACAAUCACAGAGAUGGUGUGUCUAAGAAAUUUCAAAAGGUGUAGGCCUCCUGACUGAAGCACAGUCAACUUAUUGGAUUCAUU